GUUAGUUGCAGCCCUAAAUGUUAUUUGUAGCGUCACAUCAUAACAACGUUUAUCUCACGACACUUGGAUAAAGAGAGAGAGAUGGAUUGAAUAUAAAGUGAUCAGAUACAUGUAGUAAGUUUAAAGUAGCAGAAAAUGAGGAUUGUGCGACGGUAGGCUACAGUAACGCUACAUGAGUAAAUAGUUACUCUACUAUGUUUACAUGUUUCUGACGCAGCCGCAGUGAUCUUCUAAAUCUAAAUCUAAAUAUUAACGUUAGCUAACCGCUAAAAACACUCCCGACAACAAGCAGGAAACUCACGCUGUCGACAUUCAGGAUCCAUUUCCCCGGUUCGGACACUGCGCCGCCCGGCCCGACCAGCACCGUCAGCACCAGCGCCAAGUACCAGAGUCCUGGCCCGGUCCGACCCGGCCCGGUUCGGCCCAGAGCCUCGGAACGCGCCAUUUGUGAGCGACGAAGAGGAACAAGACAGCAGAAGCAGCCAGCAAAAGAAGAACUCACAACAAGCUGAAUACUUCCGGGUUCCGGCUGACGUUGGCAGGGAAGGAAUGGUGCUUUCAGGGACCGUGGAAAGCUAUGCCUGAUAUUAUCCCACACCUGAACUGCUCUGAUUUGGCUGUUUGAGAGCGGAGCCAUCCAUCUGGCUGUGAGAUCCUACUCUGAGCCCUGCGCUCCUCCUGCCUCUUCACCAUCUUCACCCAGCAAGUCGUCAGCACCACAGAGGUAAUUGGAUUUUUGGAGCGCUGCUUGGGCCGGGACAAGAGGAAUUUGUGGCUGAGAUGACAGAAUUUACAGAAGAAGCGUGUCACAGCAGACUGCUGGAAAAGGGCCGGAAAUGUGCAUAUCUACCGAGUGUCCAGUUUCCAUGACCGGCGAAAAAAAAAAUUAGCUUUCAUGAGAGUGAAAAACAGCAUUUUCUCCAGUGUCUGCAUGUCUUUUUUUUUUUUUUUUUUUAUUAUUAAAAAAGCCUACCAGGAAAGCGAGAGAUGAGCCACUGGAAGGCUUUUAAUUUGAAAUGUCUGUGAGUUUGAUACAUAAAAGUUUAUAGUGUGUGUAGUGUAUGUGUGUAGUACCUUCGAGUAGAAAAACAGGGCAGCACCGGUCCCGAGCACCAGCAGCACCAGGACAACCAGUCCAAUGACCAGAUGUA
Perca flavescens (yellow perch) is the source of this 1151-nucleotide long non-coding RNA. RefSeq lists it as uncharacterized. The transcript is spliced from 3 exons. The record is from RefSeq and is a predicted model, not a curated record. NCBI's taxonomy places the organism in Eukaryota, Metazoa, Chordata, Actinopteri, Perciformes, Percidae.